AUACCUUUCUCGGCCUUUUGGCUAAGAUCAAGUGUAGUAUCUGUUCUUAUCAGUUUAAUAUCUGAUACGUGGGCCAUCGGUCCACAUGGUAUUAAAUUUAUUUUUCUAGGGGGAAGACCCGCCACUGUAGCUUGCUACUGGGUUCUCGUGCGUCUCCCAUGCGUUGCACUACUGCACGGGCCUGGCGCACCCCAC
Molecule: small nuclear RNA, 195 nt
Filed under: Nelumbo nucifera (sacred lotus)
Lineage: Eukaryota; Viridiplantae; Streptophyta; Magnoliopsida; Proteales; Nelumbonaceae
Description: U2 spliceosomal RNA
Rfam family: U2 spliceosomal RNA
About the family: U2 is a small nuclear RNA (snRNA) component of the spliceosome (involved in pre-mRNA splicing).
Source: Rfam by way of RNAcentral